UGGGGAAUUUUCCGCAAUGGGCGAAAGCCUGACGGAGCAAGACCGCGUGAGGGAGGAAGGCCUUUGGGUUGUAAACCUCUUUUGUCAGGGAAGAAAAAAAUGACGGUACCUGACGAAUCAGCCUCGGCUAACUCCGUGCCAGCAGCCGCGGUAAUACGGAGGAGGCAAGCGUUAUCCGGAAUCAUUGGGCGUAAAGCGUCCGUAGGUGGCCAAGUAAGUCUGCUGUCAAAGACCACAGCUUAACUGUGGAAAGGCAGUGGAAACUGCGGGGCUAGAGUGCGGUAGGGGUAGAGGGAAUUCCAGGUGUAGCGGUGAAAUGCGUAGAGCUCUGGAAGAACACCGGUGGCGAAAGCGCUCUACUGGGCCGUAACUGACACUGAGGGACGAAAGCUAGGGGAGCGAAAG
This 405-nucleotide ribosomal RNA is filed under the name uncultured bacterium. RNAcentral describes it as "bacterial SSU rRNA". It matches the Rfam family "Bacterial small subunit ribosomal RNA", at positions 355 to 774 of the family's 1533-position model. The record is from RNAcentral.